This 373-nucleotide ribosomal RNA is filed under the name uncultured bacterium. Its description in RNAcentral is "bacterial SSU rRNA". It matches the Rfam family "Bacterial small subunit ribosomal RNA", at positions 523 to 898 of the family's 1533-position model. The record is from RNAcentral.
AUACGGAGGAUCCGAGCGUUAUCCGGAUUUAUUGGGUUUAAAGGGUGCGCAGGCGGGGGAUUAGGUCGGCGGUGAAAUAUCAGGGCUCAACCUUGAGAGUGCCGUCGAAACCGGUUUUCUUGAGUGCGGAUGAAGUAGGCGGAAUUUGUGGUGUAGCGGUGAAAUGCGUAGAUAUCACAAAGAACACCGAUUGCGGAGGCAGCUUACUAAACCGCAACUGACGCUCAUGCACGAAGGCGUGGGGAUCAAACAGGAUUAGAUACCCUGGUAGUCCACGCAGUAAACGAUGAUUACUAGCUGUUUGCGAUACAAUGUAAGCGGCUGAGCGAAAGCGUUAAGUAAUCCACCUGGGGAGUACGUUCGCAAGAAUGAA